Molecule: ribosomal RNA, 429 nt
Filed under: Gemmatimonadota bacterium
Lineage: Bacteria; Pseudomonadati; Gemmatimonadota
Description: Gemmatimonadetes bacterium partial 16S ribosomal RNA
Rfam family: Bacterial small subunit ribosomal RNA
Source: RNAcentral
UAGGGAAUCUUCGGCAAUGGACGAAAGUCUGACCGAGCAACGCCGCGUGAGUGAAGAAGGUUUUCGGAUCGUAAAACUCUGUUGUUAGAGAAGAACAAGGACGUUAGUAACUGAACGUCCCCUGACGGUAUCUAACCAGAAAGCCACGGCUAACUACGUGCCAGCAGCCGCGGUAAUACGUAGGUGGCAAGCGUUGUCCGGAUUUAUUGGGCGUAAAGCGAGCGCAGGCGGUUUCUUAAGUCUGAUGUGAAAGCCCCCGGCGCAACCGGGGAGGGGCAUUGGAAACUGGGAGACUUGAGUGCAGAAGAGGAGAGUGGAAUUCCAGGUGUAGCGGUGAAAUGCGUAGAUAUAUGGAGGAACACCAGUGGCGAAGGCGGCUCACUGGUCUGUAACUGACGCUGAGGCUCGAAAGCGUGGGGAGCAAACAGG